Molecule: transfer RNA, 95 nt
Filed under: Armillaria solidipes
Lineage: Eukaryota; Fungi; Basidiomycota; Agaricomycetes; Agaricales; Physalacriaceae
Description: tRNA-Glu
Rfam family: tRNA
About the family: Transfer RNA (tRNA) molecules are approximately 80 nucleotides in length. Their secondary structure includes four short double-helical elements and three loops (D, anti-codon, and T loops).
Source: RNAcentral
UCGGAUAUGGUGUAACGGCUAACAUUGCCGCCUCUCAUAAUAACGUGGCUGAAUGUUAUUCGCGGCAGCUCGGGGUUCGAUUCCCCGUAUCCGAA